RNAcentral lists this ribosomal RNA (255 nucleotides) under uncultured bacterium. RNAcentral describes it as "partial 16S ribosomal RNA". It matches the Rfam family "Bacterial small subunit ribosomal RNA", at positions 524 to 776 of the family's 1533-position model. The record is from RNAcentral.
UACGUAGGGUGCGAGCGUUGUCCGGAAUUAUUGGGCGUAAAGAGCUUGUAGGCGGUCUGUCGCGUCUGCUGUGAAAAUCCGGGGCUCAACCCCGGACUUGCAGUGGGUACGGGCAGACUAGAGUGUGGUAGGGGGAGACUGGAAUUCCUGGUGUAGCGGUGAAAUGCGCAGAUAUCAGGAGGAACACCGAUGGCGAAGGCAGGUCUCUGGGCCACUACUGACGCUGAGAAGCGAAAGCAUGGGGGAGCGAACAGG